This 497-nucleotide ribosomal RNA is filed under the name uncultured bacterium. RNAcentral describes it as "partial 16S ribosomal RNA". It matches the Rfam family "Bacterial small subunit ribosomal RNA", at positions 28 to 507 of the family's 1533-position model. The record is from RNAcentral.
GAUGAACGCUGGCGGCGUGCCUAAUACAUGCAAGUCGAGCGAAAAGACGAGGAGCUUGCUCCUCUGACGUUAGCGGAGGAGGGGUGAGUAACACGUGGAUAACCUACCUAUAAGACUGGGAUAACUUCGGGAAGCCGGAGCUAAUCGCGGAUAAUAUAUUGAACCGCAUGGUUCAAUAGUGAAAGACGGUUUUGCUGUCACUUAUAGAUGGUUCCGCGCCGCAUUAGCUAGUUGGUAAGGUAACGGCUUACCAAGGCAACGAUGCGUAGCCGACCUGAGAGGGUGAUCGGCCACACUGGAACUGAGACACGGUCCAGACUCCUACGGGAGGCAGCAGUAGGGAAUCUUCCGCAAUGGGCGAAAGCCUGACGGAGCAACGCCGCGUGAGUGAUGAAGGUCUUCGGAUCGUAAAACUCUGUUAUUAGGGAAGAACAAAUGUGUAAGUAACUAUGCACGUCUUGACGGUACCUAAUCAGAAAGCCACGGCUAACUACGUG